Long non-coding RNA from Archocentrus centrarchus (flier cichlid), 819 nucleotides. RefSeq lists it as uncharacterized. The record is from RefSeq and is a predicted model, not a curated record. The transcript has 3 exons. NCBI's taxonomy places the organism in Eukaryota, Metazoa, Chordata, Actinopteri, Cichliformes, Cichlidae.
GCGGGAAGCUUCCAGAAACCCUGUGGACUUACACAUUGGAAGAAGCUGAUCUUCUCUAAAGACUAAUGAUGUUGUUCCCAUGAGGACUGCUGUCCUGCGAUGUCUCUUGGUUUUCCUCGGGGGUGAUGAAAGAGACUGCUACAAUGCCUCUUUUGAUUCAGAUGCCGUGGCAGACUUCACCCAGGUUCCUGUGGGAUUAUUGCCUGUUAUUCCUGAAGUCAGUCAGCAACCAGGUCCGAAUGCUCUUCACCUUGAAGCAUCCAGCAUGUUAUCAUUCUGGAAGGUACAAUUGUCAUGGUUGACACUGAUCAUGCUGUUUGCCUCAUAUUUGGACUGACCUGUGCCCUUCAUCUUGACUGUCCAAAAUGCCUAAAAAACACCUUUGACUUCAUUCAGAGGCUGAUGCUCAGUCUGGUUUCUUUUUUUAUGCCAUUACUUGUAUUUCUAUGUUUUUUCAUAUUGUGUAUUCAUUUAAUAUGAUAUUUUUUUAACUUACUAUCAUAUUUUAAUUUGAUUUUUUUUUGCACUGUUGCACUGUAUUAUCAAAUAAGUUGGUAAAGUUCUUAUUUUUUUUUGUUGGAUGCAAUGUUUGGCACAUGGAUUACUUCAUCAAGCUAUUUAUUUAUUUCUAUGUUUAUUGCCAAGUAUGUCAGAAUCUGUCCUCCAUAUAUAACUACUUAAAUCACUUUUUUUUUUAAAUGUUACAGUGCUAGAGUGCCUACUUGUUACAGUUCAAAAUAAACUGUUUCAGUUGCUGCUCAUUCAGCCUGUAAGCUGACUUAAGCAUCUUUCUGGUAUUACUGUUAUUGAACCCUGUGG